This 855-nucleotide ribosomal RNA is filed under the name Phyllosticta citricarpa. RNAcentral's name for it is "partial large subunit ribosomal RNA". It matches the Rfam family "Eukaryotic large subunit ribosomal RNA", at positions 65 to 938 of the family's 3401-position model. Lineage: Eukaryota; Fungi; Ascomycota; Dothideomycetes; Botryosphaeriales; Phyllostictaceae. The record is from RNAcentral.
CCAACAGGGAUUGCCUCAGUAACGGCGAGUGAAGCGGCAAUAGCUCAAAUUUGAAAGCUGGCGUCUUCGACGUCCGCGUUGUAAUUUGUAGAGGAUGUUUCGGCGAGGGCUCCUGCCUAAGUUCCCUGGAAUGGGACGUCACAGAGGGUGAGAAUCCCGUAUGUGGCGGGCGGCCUUAGCCAUGUGAAACUCCUUCGACGAGUCGAGUUGUUUGGGAAUGCAGCUCUAAAUGGGAGGUAAAUUUCUUCUAAAGCUAAAUACCGGCCAGAGACCGAUAGCGCACAAGUAGAGUGAUCGAAAGAUGAAAAGCACUUUGGAAAGAGAGUUAAAAAGUACGUGAAAUUGUUGAAAGGGAAGCGCUUGCAACCAGACUCGUUCGCAGUUGCUCAGCCCGCCUCUUGGUGGGUGUACUCUUCUGCGGUCGGGCCAGCAUCAGUUCGGGCGGUCGGAUAAAGGUGUCGGGAAUGUAGCACCCUUCGGGGUGUGUUAUAGCCCGGCGCGGAAUGCGGCCAGCCUGGACUGAGGAUCUCGCUUCGGCAAGGAUGCUGGCGUAAUGGUUGUAAGCGGCCCGUCUUGAAACACGGACCAAGGAGUCUAACAUCUAUGCGAGUGUUUGGGUGUCAAACCCAUGCGCGUAAUGAAAGUGAACGGAGGUGGGAACCCGCAAGGGUGCACCAUCGACCGAUCCUGAUGUCUUCGGAUGGAUUUGAGUAAGAGCAUAGCUGUUGGGACCCGAAAGAUGGUGAACUAUGCCUGAAUAGGGUGAAGCCAGAGGAAACUCUGGUGGAGGCUCGCAGCGGUUCUGACGUGCAAAUCGAUCGUCAAAUUUGGGUAUAGGGGCGAAAGACUAAUCGA